GAUGAACGCUAGCGGCAGGCCUAAUACAUGCAAGUCGAACGGGAUCCAGAUCAAAGCUUGCUUUGGUCUGGCGAGAGUGGCGCACGGGUGCGUAACGCGUGAGCAACCUACCCUUGUCAGGGGGUUAGCCCGGCGAACGUCGGAUUAAUACCGCUUCACAUCAUUGAUAGGCAUCUUUCGAUGAUCAAAGAUUUAUCGGACAAGUAUGCGCUCGCGUGACAUUAGCUUGUUGGUAAGGUAACGGCUUACCAAGGCUGGGAUGUCGAGGGGCUCUGAGAGGAGAAUACCCCACAAUGGUACUGAGACACGGACCAGACUCCUACGGGAGGGAGCAGUAAGGAAGAUUGGGCAAGGGAGGGAAGUCUGAACCAGCCAUGCCGGGUGCAGGAGGACGGCGCUAUGGGUUGUAAACUGCUUUUAUACGGGAACAAACGUCGGUACGUGUACCGGUCUGAGUGUACCGUAAGAAUAAGGAUCGGCUAACUCCGUG
RNAcentral lists this ribosomal RNA (490 nucleotides) under uncultured bacterium. RNAcentral describes it as "partial 16S ribosomal RNA". It matches the Rfam family "Bacterial small subunit ribosomal RNA", at positions 28 to 507 of the family's 1533-position model. The record is from RNAcentral.